UUAGCUUGGCGUGAAACAUGUACAGUAGGUUUUACUUACAGGUGAGCAGUGUGAGCUGGGACAGUAAUCAUUUUUCUGCAAUUGCAAUGUUCCAACAUAUAGUUUCAUUAAAAAAAUGUAUCUGCUCUCCUCGAGUAGUGUUUGUACAAUUUAUAGCUUUUUCAGACUGAAGAAAUCUCAUUAGCCUCAUUUUAGUUUUAACAUGGGAAUGUCCUAUAGCCUGAUCCUCCACAUAGGUGCUGGAGAGGGUUCAGCUCUGAAGUCUGUAGGUGUCGCAACAGGUUACACAUGCUCUUAACAGGACAUUGACAACUUCACUUACGACCUUGCUGACCUGAAGCCAGUUUCUAACUUGGAGUCUGACUUUGUUUUCCCUCCCCUGACUAAUGUUAACAUGAACUAUCUAGCCAUGUGUGAAAAACAAGAUCCAUGUGAGUAGAUGCACUGUGGACCUCACAGGCUGUGUGUAAAGAAGGACGGAAAGCCUGUCUUUGCUUCAGAGUCUAACAUCUGCUCUGUAUAAGGGAUUCUUACUACCGCACCUUCGUCGGUAGUAACACUUUGCCGUGAUUGUGGCUAGUAUAUGUCCAUACUGUCUUGCUUUUGCAGAUCAAUAGUCAGCAGAGGAACCUGCCCCUAGCCCUGGCCGCCGGCUCUCUGCCUUUAAACCCUAGCAGCUCCAGCGUUGUCUUGGAAACAGACUUUGGCCUGAUGCUGCGGUAUGACUGGCAUCACAACCUUGAAUUGGAAGUGGCACCGGAGCUGUCUGGUUCACUGUGUGUUCUCUGUGGAAACUACAGCCACAAUGCAACUAAUGACUUUGCCACCCCUGAUGGAACUGUGGCGGCUGUGGACUUCGCGCUUCGCUGGAAAGUGGACUGCGGCGCCUCAUGUCCUGUGUGCAGUACAGGCCAAGUGAACUCUAAACCUACAUUGGGUUCGGUUUCAGGCUGCUGCAGAGCCACGUCCAUGUUGUUCCUGAACAGGACGUCUGCAGCUGCAAGGCUGACCAAUGUGCUGCUGAUGGAGCUCCUUCUGCUGUCUGUAGGUCGAUGCAGGUAUACUCUGACAUAUGUCAGAGGCCGGCUACCUCCCAGUGAAAGGACGGCUAUCUGCUCAGUGGCAGCCAUUGUGUCCCAGACAGCAGGUGUGGCUGCAGCCAUCAAGGUCUCUACUACCUCCCCAAGGAGAUGUUCUGGAUGGACCGCCAGUGUCGGAAGCAGUGCACCUGCCAGCCUUCCUCCAAGAAUGUCACCUGUGUCCAGGCCCAGUGUCAGGAGGACAAGGUGUGCAAGAUUCUGGCUGGGCUGCCAUAAGGAAGGGCUUAGGGUGUGCACAGCUCAAGGGGAUCGGCAUUACACCAUUUUUGACGGGAACAGGUGUGUCUUCCAAGGCACCUGUGCGUACCAGCUGGUGAGGCACUUCCCUAGCUCGGGAGACCUGCCUGGUUUCAGUGUGGUGACACAGAACAUGAGGAGGACGACACCAACACUUCUUAUUCCAGAAGGGUCAAUAUUUUGAUUCAUGGUUACUCUAUUGAGAUCUCUCAUUACUGGGAUGAAGUAGUUGUGGUCAAUGGGAUUAUUUUGAGCCUUCCCUCAGUGUUGAGCCAAGGUAAAGUGAAGAGCUCUCCACGUGUAUUGAGACUGUCUUUGGUGUCCUGGUCACAUACAACUGGAACCUCCUGACUGUCCAAGUGCCCAGGGUCUUCUCUGGCUCACUCUAUGGCCUGUGUGGGAACUUCAACGCGGACCCAGAGGACUAUCUAACAGACGACGGGGACAUCUAUGGCUGUGAGGCGCUGGAAAACUAGUAACGUUGUUGAAUGUGUGGAUGUGACGACAAUGAACAAUCCCCAAUGCCCCAUCAGGAACAGGCUCUCUAUUUAGGCAGGGACUACUGAGGGAGUGUUCCAGAACUGCCACGGGAUGGUCAACCCCAAACGCUGCCUUUGACAACUGUCUACGACCUCUGCUACAACAAUGACAAGCAGAAUGCCCUGUGUCAGAUUCUCUCAAGUUACACCGCUGCUUGCCAGGAGGAAGGGGCAAACAUAGAUGAAUGGAGGCUUCAGAUUAUUGUGGUAAGUAGUUUGAGUUGAUAAAUCCUUUUGCUCUGUAUUGAUGACUAUUUCAACUAAUCAGUUGAUGUGAACCUCUGCAUGAUCCAUACAUUUGCUAAAUUUCCCUUCCUAUGUACUGUACAGGUCUGUCCUGUCCAGCCAACAUUGAAUACAACCUGUGCUCCAUCCCUGUGCCCAACAAUUGUGUGGCGUCUCGUGUAAACCUGGGUUCUUCCAUAGUGGUGUGUCCCCAACACUGAGUGCGGCUGCCUCUGACGGUUUGUGCCACAAGAUCAAGGCAGUGUUUUACGCCCAUGAUCAUUGCCAGGUUGCUUCUCUUGUCGGUCAUGGCUAGCUACCAUGCACUGACACCACCUGUUCCAGUGGAACAGAGUGUAGGAUCCAAAAUGGACCCUGUGACUGCUAUCCAGCGCCAGUUUCAGGGAAGUGCAAAGUGGUGGGAGGCAGGCACUUGGACCUAUGAUGGGCAUAGCUUUGAUCUCCAUAUGGGCAUAUCAAGAAGCCCCCAUUUCCUAAACCAGACAUAUGCCAAGAAUGGAGCAGAUACAUUUUCAUAUAUACAGCAAGGGCAGCUACACCUGAGGUACAAGGGACUGAAUGACUGUGGAACUGCAGCAGAGGGGGAUGGUUGAGGUGGAAAUGGACAAUGGGGCAGUGAUCACGUACAGUGGACCUGACUUCAUACAGCUGUUAUCUCCUCCUGCCUACGCUGGUAAGGCAUGUGGGUGGUGUUGAAACUUCAACAGCACUGCUACAGAUGACACUCAGAUGGUCCGUGACGUUUUCCUGUCUGGGGUCAUCUGCCCAGAGUGUAACUGGACCUUGGCGGCUGAGUUCAAGUUGGAGCAUUUCUGUGGAGUCCUCUCAGCUCCUGCUGGCCUAUUCAGAGACUGCCACGCCACGGUAGACCCACAACCUUUCUUGGACAACUGUGUAAAGGCCCCUGUGUGUGUCUUGAAGGGAUAUGGCAAAGUACUGUGGCAGCCUGAAGGAUUAUUGGGGCGGCAGGGUAGCCUAGUGUUUAGAGCGUUGGACUAGUAACCGAAAGGUUGCAAGUUUGAAUCCCCGAGCUGACUAGGUACAAAUCUGUCGUUCUGCUCCUGAACAGGCAGUUAACCCACUGUUACUAGGCCGUCAUUGAAAAUAAGAAUUUGUUCUUAACUGACUUGCCUAGUUAAAUAAAGGUAGAAAAAAAAUCUAUGUUUGUAUUUUAUGAAGCCGCAGCCAAGGUCUAGCCAUGGAGGGGAGACGAAUGCUGUAAGUGGAUGAUGCAAGAUCCUUUCUGGCUUAAAACUGAAUUCAACAUGUAUUAUGUUUACAAAGACAAAAUGUCUUUCCCCUCCAUACAGCCAUGUCAUGCCCAGUGAACUCUCACUACAAGGUGUGUACCAAUGCCUGCCCUGAAACCUGUGCCAAUACUUCUGGUUUGGUCACCAGUCCUUCGACUUGUGUGGAUGGGUG
This is a long non-coding RNA of Oncorhynchus tshawytscha (Chinook salmon), 3544 nucleotides long. The record is from Ensembl. Lineage: Eukaryota; Metazoa; Chordata; Actinopteri; Salmoniformes; Salmonidae.